AGUGUGCCUUUUGAUGACAAAGUCAUAGUAGACAGAAUCAGUGGUGUUUUCAUUAUUAAACAAGAAGAGUAGGCCUUCUCUCAUAUAUAAUUUUUGCAUUUUUAAUACACAUAUAUAUUAGGUUGUAGUGGAUAUAAUAUUGUACUAAUAUAGGCAUAUAUAAUAUUACAAUUAUUUUAAGUUGUUUCCCAGCUUGUGCGUAAUUGAUCAUAAUUUGAGGAUGUGCAUUCUAAAAGGACUUGUCCUAUUUUUAUCAUGUGUCUUAUAUUUUGUUAAGCUUGUCAGUAGGGGGCGAUCUUAAAUGGUCAGUCCUGAAACCAUGACUUUGCAAAGUAUACUUAUUAUUCAAAAACUGGAUAUUUGUAGAAACAGCAUUUUGAUAAACACUUCGAGCGCACGGAUAGGUGUUUUAAACCGUACAGACAUACUUUUCAAAAUAGAAAAGCAGCAAUUUCGUGGAAUGACCUAUAAGCUUUAACAACAACAACAAACAGUUGUACCUGGCAACUUGCUGUCACAGCAAAAUAAGGUGUGGAGUGUUUUUUUCUGGUAAACGGUCUGUGGUGAAGUAGUCUGUGAAUUUUCACUUUUGAAGCAGAAAAAAAAAAUACUGAUUUAACUUUAACAAUGGACAAAACACAAGGAAGCAAAUCAAGACCCUUUCCAGUAACAACGUUGUUCAAACAGGAGCGUAAGGAAUCUGAAAGAGUGCAGGUGACGUACAGAAUUCCAGCUCUUCUCUAUAUCAGUGAGAACCAAACAUUCCUGGCCUUUGCUGAAAAGCGGAAAACCGCUGAUGACACUGAUGCAGAUGUCCUUGUGAUGAGAAAAGGAAUAUGGAAGGAUGACGGAGUUGAGUGGGAUAGUCAAGAGUUGCUCUCUUCGGCUUGUCAAGCAAACCGUCGCUGUAUGAAUCCAUGUCCGGUCUUUGAGAGAGAAUCCAAGACCCUAUUUCUGUUUUUCAUUACUGUUCCUGUUGGGGUCUCUGAACACAAACAAAUACACAAGAAUAAGAAUCAGGCACGACUUUGUUACAUAACUAGUAAGGACACUGGCAAAACCUGGAGUGCUGUUACAGACCUGACAGCAGAUGUAAUCGGUGAGCAGGAGAAGGACUGGGCCACCUUUGCUGUUGGACCAGGACAUGGUGUUCAACUGAAGAGCGGAAGACUUAUUAUCCCAGCAUAUGUGUAUCCUUGCCGCUCACACAACUGUAAAGCCACAUCGUGUGCAUUCGCAUUGUACAGUGAUGAUAAAGGAAGUACUUGGCGUUUAGGAAAACGUAUGGAUGGUGAGUCUAAUGAGUGUCAGAUGGCUGAGAUCAUUGAUGACAAAGGUACCAGUAAGCUUUACUGUAAUGCUCGAAGUAUAUCAGGCCACAGAGUCGAGGCUCUAAGUGAGUGUAAUGGAGAAUCAUUUGACAAGCCUUCAUCUGCAUGUAAGCUGACAGAAACCGGACGUGGCUGCCAAGGAAGUGUGUUGAGUUUUGCCCCUAAUCAAGCAACUGAAAAAACAUGGCUACUGUAUUGCCAUCCAACAAAUCCAAGCAAGAGAGCAUGCCUUGGCGUCUACCUGAAUAAAUCCCCGUGGGAUGCUUCUAGAUGGGAGGAUCGUAAAUUGAUCAUCUACGAUGGUCCAAGUGGAUACUCGGAUCUGGCCCACUGUGGAGAUGGAAAACACUUCGCCUGUCUCAUGGAAUGUGGAGAGAUUAGUGAGGUCGAAGGGAUAGCCUUUGUCCUUUUUAAACUCAGUGAUGUCAUUUAGGCCAAGGGUGUUGAAUGAGACAGCAAAAGUCAGCAUUUUCUUUUAGUAAUGCUUUAGUAAUAAUGGCCAAGUACUCACAUAAUUGUCAUUAAUUAUCAUUAACUAUCAUUAAUUACUCACCUUUAUGUCAUUUCAAACCUAUGAGACCUAUGAGUUCAUCUUCAGAACACAAAUUAAGAUUUUUUUUAUAAAAUUUGAGAGCUUUCUGACCCUGCAUAUACAAGCAACGCGACUGACACGUUCAAGGUCUAGAGAGGUAGUAAGAACAUCAUUAAAAUAGUCCAUAUGAUGUCAGUGGAUCAACCAUAAUUUUAUGAAGCUACAAGAAUAAUUUUUGUGUGCAAAGAAAACUAAAAUAAUGACGUUAUUCAACCAUCUUUAUUCAACGCUGGCUCCUGCAUUAGCAGAACCACACAUGCGUCGCACAAAAUUAUUCUUGUAGCUUGCUAAAAAUAAAGGUUGAACCACAGAUGUCAGAUGGACUAUUUUAACAAUGUCCUUACUACCUUUCUGAGUCUUAAAUGUGUCAGUUGUGUUGCUGUCUAUGCAGGGUUAGAAAGCUCUUGAAUUUCAUCAAAAUAUCUGCAUUUGUGUUCCAAAGAUGAACAAAGGUCUUAGGGGUUCGGAAUGUUAUUAAUGACAGAAUGUCAAUUUUUGUAUGAACUAUCGCUUUAAAUCAUUAAAAUAUGAAGAUUAUAAACACUGCCGUUCAGAGAUUCUGCCUUUUUUUUUUUUUUUAAAUCAAUGCUUUUAUUGUGAUAUGUGAUAUAUAUAUAAAUAUGAGACUAAAUACAUACAGGGAUAUUUUUUGCACCAAUAUCUUGAAUAUUAGGGCAUAGGGCAUAACUGCAUUUGUGUUGUGCUGUUUUGUGCUGUUAAUUCUGUUACAUGUAUGCUUUGUUUCUGUCUUUGUUUUUCCUGACCUAGUUUUCCUUAGUAUUGCUGACCUAGUUGUCUGAUUAGUUAUCAAGUUCACCUGUUUUACUUCUGCGUAUUCAUCCGUAUCACACCUUUUCACUUCUUUUCAGUGUUAUUUCAGUGCUCAGUGAAGAUAAGAGUGUGUUUUUAAACAUUUGUGGAGGGCUGUGCAAUAUUAGGGGUGGAAACCAUAAUUACUUUUUGACAUGAGAGAUAAAGUUAUCCCUGUGUUUAUAAUUCAUGCACGUCAAUCAGUUCAUAAAUCAUUUAAUAGUCAUUCUUUAAUUGUCCCAAAUACCACAAUGUCACCACCACUUGCUCACCACUUGCUCACAGUCUUCAACACCUUUUGCACUUAAUGAUAAAAUAAUAGUGAAAGCAUCUGUCAGUCCUUUCCUCACCCAGUCCGGUAAACAUCAUGGAUCUGUCUGUAUCAACUCCAAGUAACUUGGAAAAACCCCUGGACUUUUCCAGACAAUAGCCAUGUGGUGUGCCAGAUAAAACAAGCUAAUGGAAUGUAAUAAAUAACAUUCAGAUAAACUCAAUAAAACAAAAAAACAAGCAAAGCGUUUUUUUUUGUUUUGUUUUGUUUUUGUUUGUUUUUUUUAUCCAACACAGCCCUUCAAGAUUGUGUCAAACAGAAAAUCUAAUGCAAAUUAUCUCUUUUAAAAUGCUUGUAUUUGUAUAAUUUACAUAAUAUUCUAUAUUAAAAAAAGGUAUAAACAACAGGUCAUUAAAAUAUUACGGCUGUCAGUUGAUUAAAGUUUUUAAUCUAAUUAAUUACAUGAUGUUUUGAUUAAUUAAUCUAAUUAAUCACAAAAUAAAUUUGACUGUUAAAACACCCACAAAGGUUAUUUAAAGCUAUUUUUGUGGUAAAUGAGAAAGUAUGAAGUAGACAUUAUAAAUUGUAGCUUUAGAAAGAAAUAUUUUGUUAGAUUCAACAUAAAAUUUAUUACACAUAAACUAAUGUAAACUAUGAAACAUAAAAGAAGAUUAUUUGAGAAACAUCUGUAUUUUUUUGUCAUUUGUAACCAAAGUCAUUUGUAACCAAAGCAGCUUUGUUACCAACAGUCUUCAAAAUACCUUCUUUAAUGUUCCACAAAAGAAAGGUUUGAAAUGACAUGAGGGUGAGUAAAUGAUGACAGAAUUUAUUUAUUUUUUUGGACUAUCCCUAAUUUUGUUAUUUUUAUUAUUCUUAUUUUAUUUAUUAUUAUUAUUAUUUUUUUUUUUUUUUUUGUUUUACAUAAAAUGAUACUUUAAAUAAGAAACUAAAUCUGGCAGCAGGGUGCAGUAAAUGUCUUUGAGUCAUUCACUCAUUCGAUUCAUUCACGAAAUGAAAUAAAUGGCUCUCUUAAUAAAUGGGCUUUUGAAUCAUUGGUUCACACGAUUCGUUCAAAACGUGGAUUCAUUAAGAAACUAAACACCGCUGUGUUUCUCAGAGAUGCGCAGCAAUUCUGGUAUGGUUUUAGAGGUCAUAUGUUCUCAGUAAAACUGAGCAAAAACACAUAUAUAGUGUUUAAAAUAUAACACAAUCUCAAUAUCUUGAAUAUUAGGGCAUAACAGCAUUUGUGGAGUUGUUGCCCUGCAUCACAUUUUUCAUCAGUCAACUAUAUAAAAUAUAAGAUGACAUACACUGUAAAAAACAAUUUGAUGAGUCAACUUAAAAUAAUUUGUAACCUGGCUGCCUUAACAAUUUAAGUUCAGUUAACUCAAAAAAAAGUUAACAAAUUAUACAAAUACAACAUAUAAAUAUAAAAAUACACUUUGAAAAUAGUUUUGUGCUGUUAUUUCUGUUACAUGUAUGCUUUGUUUCUGUAUUUGUUUUUCCUGACCUAGUUUUCGUUAGUAUUGCUGACCUAGUUGUCUGAUUAGUUAUCAAGUUCACCUGGUGUCACGCUAUUUAACUCUUUAGUUCCCAUUGUUUGCCUUAUAAAAAACCCUGUAAAACUCAUCAUAUGCUUUAGUUCUUUUAAUUUGUUACAAACUUAUUUUAAGUAUUCCUUUAGUUGCUUGUCGAGCCCUCUUUUAUGGACAGCAUGCUAAAUCUGUUUUAUCAAGAUCAUAUGAACAUGCAAACUUGUGAAAUAAAAAGUAAAGGCAACUAUGGCGUGUCUCUGGUUGGUAUCUGUCAUUGUUGGGCAUCCAAUGGACACUCACAAUUGACACAGUGUGGGGUUUUUGGUUCUUUGCAGAAGUAAAACAUGCAAGCUGUAGAUUCAAUUCAAAUAGGUUUCAAUAUUUAUUCAAAAAAUAACUAUAGGGAAUCAAUAUUGUGUUACACAUUCUGUUGCUUCUGCGUAUUCAUCUGUAUCACACCUUUUCACUUCUUUUCAGUGUUAUUUCAGUGCUCAGUGAAGAUAAGAGUGUGUUUUUAAACAUUUGUGGAGGGCUGUGCAAUAUUAGGGGUGGAAACCAUAAUUACUUUUUGACA
Labeo rohita (rohu) is the source of this 5113-nucleotide RNA transcript. It is a transcript of the gene named sialidase-4-like, with no coding region annotated. The transcript is spliced from 4 exons. NCBI's taxonomy places the organism in Eukaryota, Metazoa, Chordata, Actinopteri, Cypriniformes, Cyprinidae. The record is from RefSeq and is a predicted model, not a curated record.